Molecule: transfer RNA, 73 nt
Organism: Enterococcus canis
Lineage: Bacteria; Bacillati; Bacillota; Bacilli; Lactobacillales; Enterococcaceae
Rfam family: tRNA
About the family: Transfer RNA (tRNA) molecules are approximately 80 nucleotides in length. Their secondary structure includes four short double-helical elements and three loops (D, anti-codon, and T loops).
Source: Rfam
GGUUCCGUGGUGUAGGGGUUAACAUGCCUGCCUGUCACGCAGGAGAUCGCGGGUUCGAUUCCCGUCGGGACCG